GGCAAAGCAGGGACUGUGCUGUCACAUGCUACUGAAGCAAACAAAAAUCCUAUUGUAUGGGGUGAGGGGUGGGGAAAAAGGAAAAUGAACAAGGUGAGGCAGUGAGGAAGGAAGUACACGUUAGCAUAACCCGCCGUUUAUGGGUUUAAUGUGUGCCCAUGGGUGUGUGCAGGUGCACUCAGGGCACUGUGUUGUGGUCUGCUGCCUGGAGGCAGACCAGGGCUUGUGCGUGGCUUUUGGCUAGAGUUACUCACAGGUGACCCACGGAGUCAGUGCAGGGGCUAUGAGAAUUUGCAUUUGCAUCAAAACGAUGCAGAAUCAAGACUGAAAGAAGUUAAGUAACUUCACUCUAGAUCAUCUGGUAGAGGGUAUAAAGGAGAUCUAGCCCUGGGAAGUUAGGCUCUAAAACCUGUGCCGUUCCUAUGAAAGCACAUUUCCUUCAUAAAAGGGUAACUUACAUCUUGUCUUUUCUGUAGUCUCUAAGUGGUUGAUUCCAUAAGAAAGUACUCAAAGCCAGUGACUGUUGAACUCAGUUUUAGCAUUUUUGGAAACUGAGAUCCAAAAAGUGUAAAUGAUUGUGAAACGGGCUUCAGUGGCUUCGUUGCAAAUCUAGAACUAAACAUCUUUUUCUUUUGCUACAAAAUGUUGUAAAUACUGAAAACAAUUUCUCAUCUAAUUCACUAUUGCAAGCUGUCGCAUAAUUUGGCUAUAAUCUUGAAGCCAAAUGGCUCAUUUUGCAGGCAUUAUUUGCACAGCCAUUUCCUUUCUUUUUUUGUGGCAGUAUAUGUGUGGAUUAGGAGUAACUCACAGCAACCAAAAGUAAACUAAAAACAAAUAUGUCAUUUGAUUUUAAAUGUGCUAAAUUUUGUCCUGAUGUUAGUAUAAAUAGUGUAUAAACAAGAUGUGCACACUACUUGGGGUGGGAUAUAAGGUCAUGAAUCCUUAAUUGUAAAGAAACCAAAAAGUUUUUAGAAAAAGAGUAGGUGGAGAAAACAGAAGAUUAUUGAACAGGCAAUAAUAAGAGAGAUUUAGUGAGAGACUAUAAAAGGCAAAAAAAAAAGAGAAACAGCUCAGAGACUCUGAACUGAGACUAUGUCCACCCCAAAAGAAGACUUUAUGCAGGGGAAUUCUGGAAGCAGACUUUUAAAUAGGCUAAUAUGUAAUCAAGUCCUGGGCAGACUAUAGGGUAGCAAGUUUAACCUAUUGCUGGGAAAAGGAGCUGGAUAUAAAAAAAAGGAAUCUUGACCCCUCUGUGACCAAAGUUUAAGAAAGAAACAUUUAGCGUAUUAUUAGGGUGAGAUAUAUGACUGUGUGUGUCUUGAGUGCAGAGAAAGGAGGCAGGGAUACUCAAGGGUUGACAGAAAAAUGGGUGUAGCAACACGUGUGAUGGGAUAGAAAAAGUCACAGGAAAGCCAUAUGCGAUUGCAACUUUGAGAUAAGGUGAGUAAACCCACAUGUGUCUGUACUCAUGUCUUACCGCUUUUACUGAUACUCAUUUUCAUUUCAGUUUCAAGAAAUCAUUUAAGUCCUUUUUUCUCUGAAGGUAAAUCAAAGUGAAAGAAGUCAUUAAGUCAGGUAACAAAUACUUAUCAAGUGCCUGUUGUUUGCUGGACAUAGCAGGAGUGCUCCCAGGCAAGGAAUAGACACCUAUUUUUCAGACUUCUGAUCUCUUUGGGGAUUGCCAAAAUGACCUCAAGUAGUGAAGAUAUAGUGGAAUAAUCUGUAUUUCUGCUGACCUUGAUGACAUUUGGUUGUCCAGGAAACAUGGUGCUGGCAUCUGCUCAG
This 1785-nucleotide long non-coding RNA is filed under the name Homo sapiens (human). RNAcentral's name for it is "HSALNT0321255". The record is from RNAcentral. Lineage: Eukaryota; Metazoa; Chordata; Mammalia; Primates; Hominidae.